GCAAAGACAAGGUUGAGGUCUCUCAUCUCCAAUUUGUAAAUGAUGCUCUAAAUUUUCAACCUUUUAAAAGUUGUGAGCCUCAGCUUGAUUUCUGGACUCAAAGUCAACAUGGGCAAAAGUUUAACAGUAGGAAUUACUUCAGUUGAGGAUAAAGUCAAAAUCAUAGCUAAUAACUUUGGGCUCACAGUGGGAAGUUGAUCUUUGAAGUACUUAGGGUUACCUUUGGGUGAUAAUCCUAGAACUCAAAGUUUUUGGGACCCAAUGGUUGAAAGACUUGAAAAGACAUGGGGCGUUAGAAAAAAGCCAAUUUCUCCAAAAGUGGAACUCUAAUUCACUCCAUACUAUACAGCUGAUUCGGGACAGAAAAGAAAGAAAAAAGAUUAUUGAAAAAAUCUACGCUUGUGCUGUCAUCUCUCCCCGAUUAAUGCAUUCUCAGAUGCUUCAAUUGUCAGUUCUACUAUUGAGAAAAAGCUGGGUUCAUUCUGCAUCACGAGUAAGCCAUUCUUAUUUAUUUUCUUUCUCUUUUCAAAAUUUCAUUUGGAAUUGCAAAAGAAUUGAGAAGAUGAUGGGCGACUUUUGUGGAAAGGUUACGAAAAUGGCAAUGGAUCUCAUCUCAUGAAGUGGGUUAAGGUUGUAAGGCCUAAAACUAGAGGUGAUUUAGGAAAUGGCAAUGUGGAAAAGAAAAAUAGAACUCUCUUAGUAAAAUGGCUUUGGAGGUUUCUCUUGGAGAAGACCUUUCUUUGGCACUCGGUUAUUCGUAACAAGCAUAGAAUUCGUCCAAAUGGAUGGGAUGCAAACAUGGUUAGGAAUGUAGAAGCCCCUAGAAAGCUAAAUCUAAAGAGUACCCAACUUUUCUUAGUUUUGUUGCCUUAGAACUGGGUAAUGGGAAGGCUAUUUGUUUUUGGGAGGAUAAAUGGAGGGAUGAUGUUUGUUAUGUGAGAAAUUUCCCUACUUGCAUAGAUUAUUCCUUUCAAGGAAUAUCUCAAUUUUCUUUAACAUGGCUUUCUCCCCACUCACUAUGAAUUGGAAUUGGCAGUUUGAUUUUAAAAGAAGUUUAAAUGAUAGAGAGGUUGAAGAACUUGCAACGGUAAUGUCAAGUAUUGAAAAUAUCAUCAUUGAUGAAUUGGAGGAAGACUAGAAAAUAGAAGCUGAAAGCCUCUGGACAAUAUAAUUAGAAGUCAUAUUUUGAGAAGCUGUGCAAUGAUGAUUUUACUGAAGAGUUCACCCUAAGAUUCAAGUCUUCUUGUAGGUUUUGGCAUAAGGAAAAUUAAAUUCUGGAGAAGUGUUGCAAAGAAUAUUUCUUCAUUUUUGUCUCUCUCUUUCUUUGUGUAUGAUGUGUGAGAGAAGUGCAGACACUGAGCAACAGAUGCUCGGAGAGUGUGGAUCAUGUCGAUUAUUUGAACCUGUUCUGAGUUAGAGGCAGAAUCAGUAUCUGUCUCUUCGAGUGUUGGAUCAUUAAACCCAUUUAGUUUAUAGAACAGGGUCGACAUGCGUUUGUAAUGAUAAUCCAAAUCUCUUUGUUGGAGCGAACAACACUUCAUUUGUUCCUUCACUGUUUUGUGGCUUCAAAGUUGUAGCAUAUGUUGUGUAAAGAAGUUAAUUUUUUGUGGGUCUUUUCAAGUUCUUGUGAUUCUCUUCUUAUAAAGAAUUCAUUUGCUUUUGGUAGAGGAACAAAGGCUAAAACUCUUUGGAAAUGUGCAGUGGCAGCAUUGUUUUAGGUAAUAUGAGACGAAAGAAAUGUUCGUAUUUUCUAGGGGAAAAGUGUAGAUAAUGCUGCAGAACUAUGGGAUAGAGUACAUUUUCUUACUUCAUUUUGGGCUUCAGUUUCGAAGGAGUUGCAAGAUUCACCCUUUCUCUUCAUACAUCUAAACAAGGAUGGAGUUUGAGAUAGGGAGUUAUAACUGAUUCUAACCUUGUAUAGAGAUGAUUGGGUAUACUUUCAUAUAAAACAGAUAGUGUUUGUUUUCUAAGUGGACAAUUAAUCUACUAUCCGUUUUAACAUCUUCUUUAUUAAUACAUUUAUCAGUUUCUUAUAAAAAAAAUUCUUGACUUCCCAAGAUUUAGGCUUUUUGGAGGAGAGCAUGUUGCACUAGGAUGGAAUAAAGUAAGUGGCUGGUUAACUAGUAGGAAGAAAUUACAUGUCUAGGAUUUUUUCCGAGAUUAUUUUUUUUAAUUACAUAAUUUAUAAAACUUGAAUAAUUAAUUAAUUAAUCUGUUCACGAAAGUAAAAAUUAACAACACAUGGUUUUGAAUUUGUGCAUUAAAUUAUUUCUUAGCAUUAUUACUUGUUUGGGGAAGAAAUGGAAGAAUUAAUGAUAGAACACAACGUGUUAAUAUAGUGUUUGUAAAGUUGCUAAGAGAAGAUUGGGCUAUGCUGGGUAUAUCAAACAAUUAAAAUGGUACACAGAUUUUCCCUACAUUAAAGGCAAAACAGUUGAAGAAAAUGCCUAAAAUAUUAGGCACAUGAGGUGUGAGUUUGAUUUCUUAACUGAUAUUGAGGAAUCAACAGGGAGAUAUUCAGUUGAACAAGUGGAGGCAAUGGCCUGCCACGGCUGCCAACUUAGUUUCAACCUCCAAUAAUAAAAAAAUAGUCCCGAAACCAACUUGACCAUUGAAGUGUGGUCACCAACCAUGCCCACUCCAACUCUAACCUCCUUUUUUCCUUUUGCAGGAUAAAAAUAGCCUUUCAACCCAACUCCAUAUACCUCCUCACCUCUUCCAAAGUUUCUCAAGCUUCUCAUAAAGCUAGAAACAAUCAACACAUCCUAAUCACGCGAGGCACCACUUCACUUUAAAAUAAAUUCAUUGUGUUUAGUUAGGAUUUUUGUUCCUUUUUCUUUCACCCCAAAAUCUAGUUAAAACAUUAUUUAUUAGGCAUCUUUAGCAUAUAAAAACAUUUCUAGUUUUAUUUUGAUAAUUGGUUAUUUAGAGGCUGUAGUAGGACUAUUUAGAAAAAGGAUUUGGUCUAAGACACUUUAUUUACAACUUAUUAGCAUUUUAAAAUGGGUUACAUAUUGUCCUUUAAAUGCCUAUAACUUUAUAUCAUAUAACACUUUUUCCUUUAUAUUAUUUCUAUUAUUUGAACAUUACUUACGAAAUACUCCCUAUCGAAAUCCAUCAAAAUUACAACACUACCCACAUUGUUUUAAGUUGAUUCUUCAUUGUGUUUAUUGCAAGACAACAAGUGAAAAUGGUGAUACUUAGGAUUUUUUGAGACUCUAGAUUUUUGCUUUUACUUUGGAAGCUAAUUUCUUAAGCAUUAUCUUCGAUUUGAAUUUUUUUGUUUAUUUUCUUUACAGCAACCAGUGAAAAUAGGUUGCAUGGCAAGAAUUGCUUAGCAAAGCAUGCUAUCUGUAUGAUUAUAAGCAUUAAGGAUUCACUUUUUGAAGGGCAAGCUUGCUACCUGUGUAUACAUGUUCAAAGUGCCAACACAUAAGAUCUUAUGUAAGCACAAAACAUGGUCUCCAUUUUGCUUUUCGAUUUAUACGUGCUUGGACUAGUUACAUGAUACAAUAUUUCAAUUUUAGAAUUCGCGUAGUACAUUUUCCAUUAUUAGGAGUUAGUUUGAUGUGUGUGUAUUUGAGUAUUUA
Molecule: long non-coding RNA, 3590 nt
Filed under: Citrus maxima (pomelo)
Lineage: Eukaryota; Viridiplantae; Streptophyta; Magnoliopsida; Sapindales; Rutaceae
Description: long non-coding RNA (CMAX_LNC000622)
Source: RNAcentral